UAGGGAAUCUUCGGCAAUGGGGGGAACCCUGACCGAGCAACGCCGCGUGAGUGAAGAAGGUUUUCGGAUCGUAAAGCUCUGUUGUUAAGGAAGAACGAGUGUGAGAAUGGAAAGUUCAUACUGUGACGGUACUUAACCAGAAAGGGACGGCUAACUACGUGCCAGCAGCCGCGGUAAUACGUAGGUCCCGAGCGUUGUCCGGAUUUAUUGGGCGUAAAGCGAGCGCAGGCGGUUAGAAAAGUCUGAAGUGAAAGGCAGUGGCUCAACCAUUGUAGGCUUUGGAAACUGUUUAACUUGAGUGCAGAAGGGGAGAGUGGAAUUCCAUGUGUAGCGGUGAAAUGCGUAGAUAUAUGGAGGAACACCGGUGGCGAAAGCGGCUCUCUGGUCUGUAACUGACGCUGAGGCUCGAAAGCGUGGGGAGCGAACAGGAUUAGAUACCCUGGUAGUCCACGCCGUAACGAUGAGUGCUAGGUGUUAGGUCCUUUCCGGGACUUAGUGCCGCAGCUAACGCAUUANCACUCCGCCUGGGGAGUACGACCGCAAGGUUG
RNAcentral lists this ribosomal RNA (548 nucleotides) under uncultured bacterium. RNAcentral's name for it is "bacterial SSU rRNA". It matches the Rfam family "Bacterial small subunit ribosomal RNA", at positions 355 to 896 of the family's 1533-position model. The record is from RNAcentral.